This 657-nucleotide ribosomal RNA is filed under the name uncultured bacterium. RNAcentral's name for it is "bacterial SSU rRNA". It matches the Rfam family "Bacterial small subunit ribosomal RNA", at positions 9 to 694 of the family's 1533-position model. The record is from RNAcentral.
GAGUUUGAUCCUGGCUCAGGAUGAACGCUGGCGGCGUGCCUAACACAUGCAAGUCGAGCGAUUCUCUUCGGAGAAGAGCGGCGGACGGGUGAGUAACGCGUGGGUAACCUGCCCUGUACACACGGAUAACAUACCGAAAGGUAUGCUAAUACGAGAUAAUAUACUUUUAUCGCAUGGUAGAAGUAUCAAAGCUUUUGCGGUACAGGAUGGACCCGCGUCUGAUUAGCUAGUUGGUAAGGUAACGGCUUACCAAGGCGACGAUCAGUAGCCGACCUGAGAGGGUGAUCGGCCACAUUGGAACUGAGACACGGUCCAAACUCCUACGGGAGGCAGCAGUGGGGAAUAUUGCACAAUGGGCGAAAGCCUGAUGCAGCAACGCCGCGUGAGCGAUGAAGGCCUUCGGGUCGUAAAGCUCUGUCCUCAAGGAAGAUAAUGACGGUACUUGAGGAGGAAGCCCCGGCUAACUACGUGCCAGCAGCCGCGGUAAUACGUAGGGGGCUAGCGUUAUCCAGAAUUACUGGGCGUAAAGGGUGCGUAGGUGGUUUCUUAAGUCAGAGGUGAAAGGCUACGGCUCAACCGUAGUAAGCCUUUGAAACUGGGAAACUUGAGUGCAGGAGAGGAGAGUGGAAUUCCUAGUGUAGCGGUGAAAUGCGUAGA